CCUACGGGAGGCAGCAGUGAGGAAUAUUGGUCAAUGUACGCAAGUCUGAACCAGCCAUGCAGCGUGCAGGAAGACGGCUCUAUGAGUUGUAAACUGCUUUUGUACGAGAGUAAACGCAGAUACGUGUAUCUGUCUGAAAGUAUCUUACGAAUAAGGAUCGGCUAACUCCGUGCCAGCAGCCGCGGUAAUACGGAGGAUUCAAGCGUUAUCCGGAUUUAUUGGGUUUAAAGGGUGCGUAGGCGGUCGGAUAAGUUAGAGGUGAAAUCCCGAGGCUCAACUGCGGAAUUGCCUCUGAUACUGUCCGGCUAGAGAGUAGUUGCGGUAGGCGGAAUGUAUGGUGUAGCGGUGAAAUGCUUAGAGAUCAUACAGAACACCGAUUGCGAAGGCAGCUUACCAAGCUACUACUGACGUUGAGGCACGAAAGCGUGGGGAGCAAACAGGAUUAGAUACCCCAGUAGUC
RNAcentral lists this ribosomal RNA (460 nucleotides) under uncultured bacterium. RNAcentral describes it as "partial 16S ribosomal RNA". It matches the Rfam family "Bacterial small subunit ribosomal RNA", at positions 338 to 795 of the family's 1533-position model. The record is from RNAcentral.